Molecule: ribosomal RNA, 278 nt
Filed under: Rheinheimera sp. LM3605
Lineage: Bacteria; Pseudomonadati; Pseudomonadota; Gammaproteobacteria; Chromatiales; Chromatiaceae
Description: partial 16S ribosomal RNA
Rfam family: Bacterial small subunit ribosomal RNA
Source: RNAcentral
GUUAAUACCGCAUAAUGUCUACGGACCAAAGUGUGGGACCUUCGGGCCACAUACUAUCGGAUGCACCUAUAUGGGAUUAGCUAGUUGGUGGGGUAAUGGCUCACCAAGGCGACGAUCCCUAGCUGGUUUGAGAGGAUGAUCAGCCACACUGGGACUGAGACGCGGCCCAGACUCCUACGGGAGGCAGCAGUGGGGAAUAUUGGACAAUGGGCGCAAGCCUGAUCCAGCCAUGCCGCGUGUGUGAAGAAGGCCUUCGGGUUGUAAAGCACUUUCAGCGA